GGAAAGGCGUGCGAUACAGGGUGACAGCCCCGUACACAAAAAUGCACAUAUUGUGAGCUCGAUGAGUAGGGCGGGACACGUGGUAUCCUGUCUGAAUAUGGGGGGACCAUCCUCCAAGGCUAAAUACUCCUGACUGACCGAUAGUGAACCAGUACCGUGAGGGAAAGGCGAAAAGAACCCCGGCGAGGGGAGUGAAAAAGAACCUGAAACCGUGUACGUACAAGCAGUGGGAGCCUCUUAAUGGGGUGACUGCGUACCUUUUGUAUAAUGGGUCAGCGACUUAUAUUCUGUAGCAAGGUUAACCGAAUAGGGGAGCCGAAGGGAAACCGAGUCUUAACUGGGCGUUAAGUUGCAGGGUAUAGACCCGAAACCCGGUGAUCUAGCCAUGGGCAGGUUGAAGGUUGGGUAACACUAACUGGAGGACCGAACCGACUAAUGUUGAAAAAUUAGCGGAUGACUUGUGGCUGGGGGUGAAAGGCCAAUCAAACCGGGAGAUAGCUGGUUCUCCCCGAAAGCUAUUUAGGUAGCGCCUCGUGAAUUCAUCUCCGGGGGUAGAGCACUGUUUCGGCAAGGGGGUCAUCCCGACUUACCAACCCGAUGCAAACUGCGAAUACCGGAGAAUGUUAUCACGGGAGACACACGGCGGGUGCUAACGUCCGUCGUGAAGAGGGAAACAACCCAGACCGCCAGCUAAGGUCCCAAAGUCAUGGUUAAGUGGGAAACGAUGUGGGAAGGCCCAGACAGCCAGGAUGUUGGCUUAGAAGCAGCCAUCAUUUAAAGAAAGCGUAAUAGCUCACUGGUCGAGUCGGCCUGCGCGGAAGAUGUAACGGGGCUAAACCAUGCACCGAAGCUGCGGCAGCGACACUAUGUGUUGUUGGGUAGGGGAGCGUUCUGUAAGCCUGUGAAGGUGGCCUGUGAGGGUUGCUGGAGGUAUCAGAAGUGCGAAUGCUGACAUAAGUAACGAUAAAGCGGGUGAAAAGCCCGCUCGCCGGAAGACCAAGGGUUCCUGUCCAACGUUAAUCGGGGCAGGGUGAGUCGACCCCUAAGGCGAGGCCGAAAGGCGUAGUCGAUGGGAAACAGGUUAAUAUUCCUGUACUUGGUGUUACUGCGAAGGGGGGACGGAGAAGGCUAUGUUGGCCGGGCGACGGUUGUCCCGGUUUAAGCGUGUAGGCUGGUUUUCCAGGCAAAUCCGGAAAACCAAGGCUGAGGCGUGAUGACGAGGCACUACGGUGCUGAAGCGACAAAUGCCCUGCUUCCAGGAAAAGCCUCUAAGCAUCAGGUAACAUCAAAUCGUACCCCAAACCGACACAGGUGGUCAGGUAGAGAAUACCAAGGCGCUUGAGAGAACUCGGGUGAAGGAACUAGGCAAAAUGGUGCCGUAACUUCGGGAGAAGGCACGCUGAUAUGUAGGUGAAGCGACUUGCUCGUGGAGCUGAAAUCAGUCGAAGAUACCAGCUGGCUGCAACUGUUUAUUAAAAACACAGCACUGUGCAAACACGAAAGUGGACGUAUACGGUGUGACGCCUGCCCGGUGCCGGAAGGUUAAUUGAUGGGGUUAGCGGUAACGCGAAGCUCUUGAUCGAAGCCCCGGUAAACGGCGGCCGUAACUAUAACGGUCCUAAGGUAGCGAAAUUCCUUGUCGGGUAAGUUCCGACCUGCACGAAUGGCGUAAUGAUGGCCAGGCUGUCUCCACCCGAGACUCAGUGAAAUUGAACUCGCUGUGAAGAUGCAGUGUACCCGCGGCAAGACGGAAAGACCCCGUGAACCUUUACUAUAGCUUGACACUGAACAUUGAGCCUUGAUGUGUAGGAUAGGUGGGAGGCUUUGAAGUGUGGACGCCAGUCUGCAUGGAGCCGACCUUGAAAUACCACCCUUUAAUGUUUGAUGUUCUAACGUUGGCCCGUAAUCCGGGUUGCGGACAGUGUCUGGUGGGUAGUUUGACUGGGGCGGUCUCCUCCUAAAGAGUAACGGAGGAGCACGAAGGUUGGCUAAUCCUGGUCGGACAUCAGGAGGUUAGUGCAAUGGCAUAAGCCAGCUUGACUGCGAGCGUGACGGCGCGAGCAGGUGCGAAAGCAGGUCAUAGUGAUCCGGUGGUUCUGAAUGGAAGGGCCAUCGCUCAACGGAUAAAAGGUACUCCGGGGAUAACAGGCUGAUACCGCCCAAGAGUUCAUAUCGACGGCGGUGUUUGGCACCUCGAUGUCGGCUCAUCACAUCCUGGGGCUGAAGUAGGUCCCAAGGGUAUGGCUGUUCGCCAUUUAAAGUGGUACGCGAGCUGGGUUUAGAACGUCGUGAGACAGUUCGGUCCCUAUCUGCCGUGGGCGCUGGAGAACUGAGGGGGGCUGCUCCUAGUACGAGAGGACCGGAGUGGACGCAUCACUGGUGUUCGGGUUGUCAUGCCAAUGGCACUGCCCGGUAGCUAAAUGCGGAAGAGAUAAGUGCUGAAAGCAUCUAAGCACGAAACUUGCCCCGAGAUGAGUUCUCCCUGAGACUUAGAGUCUCCUGAAGGAACGUUGAAGACGACGACGUUGAUAGGCCGGGUGUGUAAGCGCAGCGAUGCGUUGAGCUAACCGGUACUAAUGAACCGUGAGGCUUAACCUU
RNAcentral lists this ribosomal RNA (2598 nucleotides) under Escherichia coli. Its description in RNAcentral is "partial 23S ribosomal RNA". It matches the Rfam family "Bacterial large subunit ribosomal RNA", at positions 344 to 2925 of the family's 2925-position model. The record is from RNAcentral. Lineage: Bacteria; Pseudomonadati; Pseudomonadota; Gammaproteobacteria; Enterobacterales; Enterobacteriaceae.